AGUGGCGGGCUUGCUAUACAUGCAGUCGAGCGGACAGAUGGGAGCUUGCUCCCUGAUGUUAGCGGCGGACGGGUGAGUAACACGUGGGUAACCUGCCUGUAAGACUGGGAUAACUCCGGGAAACCGGGGCUAAUACCGGAUGGUUGUUUGAACCGCAUGGUUCAGACAUAAAAGGUGGCUUCGGCUACCACUUACAGAUGGACCCGCGGCGCAUAGCUAGUUGGUGAGGUAACGGCUCACCAAGGCGACAUCGUAGCCAACCUGAGAGGGUGAUCGGCCACACUGGGACUGAGACACGGCCCAACUCCUACGGAGGCAGCAGUAGGGAAUCUUCCGCAUGGACGAAGUCUGACGGAGCAACGCCCGAGAGUGAUGAAGGUUUUCGGAUCGUAAGCUCUUUGUUAGGGAAGAACAAGUGCCGUUCAAAUAGGGCGGCACCUUGACGUACCUAACCAGAAUGCCACGGCUAACUACGUGCCAGCAGCCGCGGUAAUACGUAGGUGGCAGCGUUGUCCGGAAUUAUGGGCGUAAAGGGCUCGCAGCGUUUCUUAAGUCUGAUGUGAAAGCCCCCCGGCUCACCCGGGGAGGGUCAUUGGAAACUGGGGAACUUGAGUGCAGAAGAGGAGAGUGGAAUUCCACGUGUAGCGUUGAAAUGCGUAGAGCUCUGGAGGAACACCAGUGGCGAAGGCGACUCUCUCGUCUGUAACUGACGCUCAGGAGCGAACGCAUGGUGAGCGAACAGGAUUAGAUACCCUGGAUAGUCAACGCCGUAAACGAUCGAGUGCUUAUUCGUUAAGAGGGUUUCCGCACCCUUACGGCUGCAGGCUGAAAGCUCACUAUCUACUCGCCUGAGUUAGUACUGUCGCAUGACCGAAACUCUAACG
Molecule: ribosomal RNA, 884 nt
Filed under: Bacillus amyloliquefaciens
Lineage: Bacteria; Bacillati; Bacillota; Bacilli; Caryophanales; Bacillaceae
Description: bacterial SSU rRNA
Rfam family: Bacterial small subunit ribosomal RNA
Source: RNAcentral